UAUUGAUGAUGUGGACAGUUCUAAAGAAGAGCUUUAAACCUCUCCCAUGCAUGAUAUAAAUUCUUAUCUGACUUCUAAUUGAAGCACACAAUCUCACUAUGCAGUCU
Non-coding RNA from Capsicum annuum, 107 nucleotides. Lineage: Eukaryota; Viridiplantae; Streptophyta; Magnoliopsida; Solanales; Solanaceae. The record is from Rfam.